Molecule: ribosomal RNA, 253 nt
Filed under: uncultured bacterium
Lineage: Bacteria
Description: partial 16S ribosomal RNA
Rfam family: Bacterial small subunit ribosomal RNA
Source: RNAcentral
UACGUAGGGACCGAGCGUUGUCCGGAAUCAUUGGGCGUAAAGAGCGUGUAGGCGGCCACUUAAGUCCUGCGUGAAAUCUUGCGGCUCAACCGCAAGCGGUCGUGGGAAACUGGGUGGCUAGAGUGCGGGAGAGGAGAGUGGAAUUCCUGGUGUAGCGGUGGAAUGCGCAGGUAUCAGGAAGAACACCCGUGGCGAAGGCGGCUCUCUGGAACGCAACUGACGCUGAGACGCGAAAGCGUGGGGAGCAAACAGG